GUUAUAUGGUCAAGUGAAUAAGCGCACAUGGUGGAUGCCUUGGCGAUAAGAGGCGAUGAAGGACGUAGUAAUCUGCGAAAAGCGUAGGGGAGCUGAUAAACGAGCUUUGAGCCUGCGAUCUCCGAAUGGGGCAACCCACAUACCCUUGGGUAUGUAUCAUUAAGUGAAUACAUAGCUUAAUGAAGCGAACCCGGCGAACUGAAACAUCUAAGUAGCCGGAGGAAAAGAAAUCAACCGAGAUUUCCCUAGUAGCGGCGAGCGAACGGGAAACAGCCUGCAAGUAAUAUUUAACGUUUUAGUGGAACGAGCUGGAAAGCUUGGCGAUACAGGGUGAUAGCCCCGUACACGAAAAGGCGUUAAAGGUACUAAGCUUGCGACAAGUAGGGCGGGGCACGAGAAACCUUGUCUGAACAUGGGGGGACCAUCCUCCAAGGCUAAAUACUCCUUAUCGACCGAUAGUGAACUAGUACCGUGAGGGAAAGGCGAAAAGAACCCCGUUUAGGGGAGUGAAAUAGAACCUGAAACCGUGUGCGUACAAGCAGUAGGAGCCCCAUCACUAAGCUGCUUUAGUGGUGGGAAACGAAAAUACCUUUGAUUUUGAGGUGGCGAGCGAGAGCGAGCCCAACCCCAAAACAAGCAGUCAAUUUACGUUAGAGAGUAAAGAGGCGGUUUUGAGGUGGCGAGCGAGAGCGAGCCCAACCCCAAAACAAGCAGUCAAUUUACGUUAGAGAGUAAAGAGGCGGUUUUGAGGUGGCGAGCGAGAGCGAGCCCAACUCCAAAACAAACAGAGGUAGCUUAGUGAUGGGGUGACUGCGUACCUUUUGUAUAAUGGGUCAGCGACUUAAUUUAUGUAGCGAGCUUAACCGAAUAGGGGAGGCGAAGGGAAACCGAGUCUUAAUAGGGCGACUAGUUGCAUGGAUUAGACCCGAAACCUGGCGAUCUAUCCAUGGUCAGGCUGAAGGUUGGGUAACACUAACUGGAGGGCCGAACCCACGUAUGUUGAAAAAUGCGGGGAUGAACUGUGGAUCGGAGUGAAAGGCUAAUCAAGCCAGGAGAUAGCUGGUUCUCCUCGAAAGCUAUUUAGGUAGCGCCUCAUGACUCACUCUUGGGGGUAGAGCACUGUUUGGGCUAGGGGGUCAUCCCGACUUACCAACCCCAUGCAAACUCCGAAUACCGAGAAGUGCAAUCAUGGGAGACACACGGUGGGUGAUAACGUCCAUCGUGGAAAGGGAAACAACCCAGACCAUCAGCUAAGGUCCCAAAAUUAUGGCUCAGUGGAAAACGAGGUGGGAAGGCACAGACAGCUAGGAGGUUGGCUUAGAAGCAGCCACCCUUUAAAGAAAGCGUAAUAGCUCACUAGUCGAGUCGGCCUGCGCGGAAGAUGUACCGGGGCUUAAGCCAUAUACCGAAGCUAUGGAUGCCGUGCAUCUUUAAACUGAUUUACGCUUGUCGCUGAAAGCGACCAAGCCCUCCCGAACGUUAAGUUGGUAGGGGUAGAGAAAGCGCUAAAACGAGUUGGUUUAAAGAUGCACGGCAUGGUAGAGGAGCGUUGUGUAAGUCUGUGAAGGUGAGUUGAGAAGCUUGCUGGAGAUAUCACAAGUGCGAAUGCUGACAUGAGUAACGAUAAAGGGGGUGAGAGGCCCCCUCGCCGAAAAUCCAAGGUUUCCUGCUCAACGCUAAUCGGAGCAGGGUGAGUCGGUCCCUAAGGCGAGGCAGAAAUGCGUAGUCGAUGGAAAACAGGUUAAUAUUCCUGUACCGGUUGUUACUGCGAUGGGAUGACGGAGAAGGUUAGGUUAGCCAACUGUUGGAUAUGUUGGUUUAAGUGUGUAGGCGUGUGCUAUAGGAAAAUCCGUAGCGCUAAGCUGAGGCAUGAUGACGAGUCUCAAUGGAGACGAAGUAACUGAUACCAGGCUUCCAGGAAAAGUCUCUAAGCUUCAGGUAACAAACGACCGUACCCCAAACCGACACAGGUGGAUGGGAUGAGAAUUCUAAGGCGCUUGAGAGAACUCGGGUGAAGGAACUAGGCAAAAUAGCACCGUAACUUCGGGAGAAGGUGUGCCCUUGUUAGGUGAAGCGACUUGCUCGUGGAGCUGAAGAGGGUUGCAGUGAACUGGUGGCUGCGACUGUUUAUUAAAAACACAGCACUCUGCAAACACGAAAGUGGACGUAUAGGGUGUGACGCCUGCCCGGUGCCGGAAGGUUAAUUGAUGGGGUUAUUCUUCGGAAGAAGCUCUUGAUCGAAGCCCCGGUAAACGGCGGCCGUAACUAUAACGGUCCUAAGGUAGCGAAAUUCCUUGUCGGGUAAGUUCCGACCUGCACGAAUGGCGUAACGAUGGCCACACUGUCUCCACCCGAGACUCAGUGAAAUUGAAAUUGCGGUUAAGAUGCCGUAUACCCGCGGCUAGACGGAAAGACCCCGUGAACCUUUACUACAGCUUUGCACUGAACUUUGAACCUACUUGUGUAGGAUAGCUGGGAGGCAUCGAAGCGUGAACGCCAGUUUGCGUGGAGCCAACCUUGAAAUACCAGCCUGGUAUGUUUGGAGUUCUAACCUCGUUCCCUUAUCGGGAAUAGGGACAGUGUAUGGUGGGUAGUUUGACUGGGGCGGUCUCCUCCCAAAGAGUAACGGAGGAGCACGAAGGUACACUAAGUAUGGUCGGACAUCAUACGGUUAGUGCAAUGGCAAAAGUGUGCUUGACUGCGAGACAGACACGUCGAGCAGGUACGAAAGUAGGUCAUAGUGAUCCGGUGGUUCUGAAUGGAAGGGCCAUCGCUCAACGGAUAAAAGGUACUCCGGGGAUAACAGGCUGAUACCGCCCAAGAGUUCACAUCGACGGCGGUGUUUGGCACCUCGAUGUCGGCUCAUCACAUCCUGGGGCUGUAGCCGGUCCCAAGGGUAUGGCUGUUCGCCAUUUAAAGUGGUACGCGAGCUGGGUUUAGAACGUCGUGAGACAGUUCGGUCCCUAUCUGCCGUGGGCGUUGGAAAUUUGAGAGGAGCUGCUCCUAGUACGAGAGGACCGGAGUGGACGUACCCCUGGUGUUCGGGUUGUCAUGCCAAUGGCAUUGCCCGGUAGCUAUGUACGGACGGGAUAACCGCUGAAAGCAUCUAAGCGGGAAGCCCCCCUCAAGAUUAGAUUUCCCUGGACUUUAAGUCCCUGAAGGGCCGUAGAAGACCACUACGUUGAUAGGUUGGGUGUGGAAGUGCAGUAAUGUAUGAAGCUAACCAAUACUAAUUGCCCGUGAGGCUUGACCAUAUAACCCCAAGUAAGUUGGG
Molecule: ribosomal RNA, 3274 nt
Filed under: Methylophaga nitratireducenticrescens
Lineage: Bacteria; Pseudomonadati; Pseudomonadota; Gammaproteobacteria; Thiotrichales; Piscirickettsiaceae
Description: bacterial LSU rRNA
Rfam family: Bacterial large subunit ribosomal RNA
Source: RNAcentral